RNAcentral lists this transfer RNA (72 nucleotides) under Sphaerodactylus townsendi. RNAcentral describes it as "tRNA-Ala". It matches the Rfam family "tRNA". From Rfam's summary of the family: Transfer RNA (tRNA) molecules are approximately 80 nucleotides in length. The record is from RNAcentral. Lineage: Eukaryota; Metazoa; Chordata; Lepidosauria; Squamata; Sphaerodactylidae.
GGGGUUGUAGCUCAGUGUUAGAGUAUCUGCUUGGCACUGAGAAUGUCUCAGGUUCAGUCCCUGUCAUUGCCA